RNAcentral lists this ribosomal RNA (188 nucleotides) under uncultured Enterobacter sp. Its description in RNAcentral is "partial 16S ribosomal RNA". It matches the Rfam family "Bacterial small subunit ribosomal RNA", at positions 335 to 516 of the family's 1533-position model. The record is from RNAcentral. Lineage: Bacteria; Pseudomonadati; Pseudomonadota; Gammaproteobacteria; Enterobacterales; Enterobacteriaceae.
ACUCUACGGGAGGCAGCAGUGGGGAAUAUUGCACAAUGGGCGCAAGCCUGAUGCAGCGUUGCCGCGUGUAUGAAGAAGGCCUUCGGGUUGUAAAGUACUUUCAGCGGGGAGGAAGGUGUUGUGGUUAAUAACCRCAGCAAUUGACGUUACCCGCAGAAGAAGCACCGGCUAACUCCGUGCCAGCAGCC